RNAcentral lists this transfer RNA (74 nucleotides) under Sus scrofa (pig). It matches the Rfam family "tRNA". From Rfam's summary of the family: Transfer RNA (tRNA) molecules are approximately 80 nucleotides in length. Their secondary structure includes four short double-helical elements and three loops (D, anti-codon, and T loops). The record is from Rfam by way of RNAcentral. Lineage: Eukaryota; Metazoa; Chordata; Mammalia; Artiodactyla; Suidae.
UCCUUGGUAGUUCAGUGGGUUAAGGAUCCAGCAUUGCCACUGCUGGGGCACAGGUGCAAUCCCUGGCCCACGAA